UCAGAACGAACGCUGGCGGCGUGCUUAACACAUGCAAGUCGAACGCGAAAGGGGACUCGGUCCUGAGUAAAGUGGCGCACGGGUGAGUAACGCGUAGAUAACCUGUCUUCACGUCUGGAAUAAUACGCCGAAAGGGGUACUAAUACCGGAUAUUCUUGCUUUUCAUAAGUUAUGCAAGCAAAGGUGGCCUCUGCAUAUGCUACUGCAUGAAGAGGGGUCUGCGUACCAUUAGCUAGUAGGUGGGGUAAUGGCCUACCUAGGCGACGAUGGUUAGCGGGUCUGAGAGGAUGAUCCGCCACACUGGCACUGGAACACGGGCCAGACUCCUACGGGAGGCAGCAGUGAGGAAUAUUGCGCAAUGGGGGAAACCCUGACGCAGCGACGCCGCGUGAGUGAGGAAGGCCUUCGGGUCGUAAAGCUCUGUCAAGAGGAAAGAAGUGUACAAUGGCUAAUACCUGUUGUAUUUGACGGUACCUCUAAAGGAAGCACCGGCUAACUCCGUGCCAGCCGCCGC
RNAcentral lists this ribosomal RNA (514 nucleotides) under uncultured bacterium. Its description in RNAcentral is "bacterial SSU rRNA". It matches the Rfam family "Bacterial small subunit ribosomal RNA", at positions 24 to 518 of the family's 1533-position model. The record is from RNAcentral.